AUGGCGGCUCUGCUGAUGCGCAGGCUCGCCGGGACCUACCGCGGCCGCGCGCCGCUGGCCGCCGCCGCCGUUGGCGGGGCCGCGUUCUUCUACGCCUCGUCGAACCCCACCGUCGCGCACAUGGAGGAGAAGGGGGAGGACGCCGCUGCCAAAGUUGCUCUUAACCCUGAGAAAUGGUUAGAAUUCAAGCUCCAGGAGAAGGCAACAGUUAGUCAUGAUUCAGAGCUAUUCAGAUUUUCGUUUGACCCAUCUACUAAGCUGGGCCUGGAUGUUGCCUCAUGUCUCGUAACAAGGGCCCCCAUAGGUCAGGAAGUGGAGGGAAAAAGAAAAUACGUUAUUCGCCCGUACACACCUAUCUCUGACCCAGAUUCUAAAGGAUAUUUCGACCUAUUAAUCAAGGUUUAUCCCGAAGGGAAAAUGUCUCAGCAUUUUGCUAAUUUGAAGCCAGGAGAUGUUCUCGAAGUCAAAGGGCCCAUUGAAAAGCUCAGAUAUAGCCCAAAUAUGAAAAGACAAAUUGGCAUGGUUGCUGGUGGUACUGGCAUAACGCCAAUGCUGCAAGUUGUUAGGGCCAUCCUGAAAAACCCCGAUGACAACACUCAGGUUUCCUUGAUCUACGCCAAUGUGUCACCAGAUGAUAUCUUGCUGAAAAAGGAGUUAGAUAGACUUGCCAGCAGCUAUCCUAAUUUCAAGGUAUUUUAUACAGUCGAUAAACCAUCAAGUGACUGGAGGGGUGGUGCUGGCUACAUAUCAAAGGACAUGGUUUUGAAAGGUUUGCCAGGCCCAGGGGAGGAUUCUCUUAUUCUUGUUUGUGGUCCUCCUGGAAUGAUGAAUCACAUAUCUGGAGAUAAGGCAAAGGAUUAUUCACAGGGCGAGGUCACGGGCCUUCUCAAAGAUUUAGGAUACACGGCAGAUAUGGUAUACAAAUUUUGA
Molecule: ribosomal RNA, 930 nt
Filed under: Triticum aestivum (bread wheat)
Lineage: Eukaryota; Viridiplantae; Streptophyta; Magnoliopsida; Poales; Poaceae
Description: partial small subunit ribosomal RNA
Source: RNAcentral